CCUACGGGAGGCAGCAGUGAGGAAUAUUGGUCAAUGGGCGCGAGCCUGAACCAGUCCAGUCGCGUGAGGGAAGACGGUCCUAUGGAUUGUAAACCUCUUUUGUCGGGGAGCAAAAGACGCCACGCGUGGCCUUCCGAGAGUACCCGGAGAAAAAGCCUCGGCUAACUCCGUGCCAGCCGCCGCGGUAAUACGGAGGAUACGAGCGUUAUCCGGAUUUAUUGGGGUUAAAGGGUGCGCAGGCGGAAGAUCAAGUCAGCGGUAAAAUUGAGAGGCUCAACCUCUUCGAGCCGUUGAAACUGGUUUUCUUGAGUGAGCGAGAAGUAUGCGGAAUGCGUGGUGUAGCGGUGAAAUGCAUAGAUAUCACGCAGAACUCCGAUUGCGAAGGCAGCAUACCGGCGCUCAACUGACGCUCAUGCACGAAAGUGUGGGUAUCGAACAGGAUUAGAUACCCGAGUAGUC
RNAcentral lists this ribosomal RNA (459 nucleotides) under uncultured bacterium. Its description in RNAcentral is "partial 16S ribosomal RNA". It matches the Rfam family "Bacterial small subunit ribosomal RNA", at positions 338 to 795 of the family's 1533-position model. The record is from RNAcentral.